GUACCUACCCUGUACCUAUGUUCUGUGAAACCGUACAGAGAAGAUAACGUAGCCCCAUACACAGGAAUGACACGCAAAUUCAUUAAGUACUCUACAUUUUU
RNAcentral lists this small nuclear RNA (101 nucleotides) under Pteropus vampyrus (large flying fox). The record is from RNAcentral. Lineage: Eukaryota; Metazoa; Chordata; Mammalia; Chiroptera; Pteropodidae.